CUGGACUUUUACUCUGUGUAUUGCAUUACUUACAGAAGAAGUACAUCACCUGAAGAAAUCUCUAAGGUACUCAAGACAGAGAAUAAACAUUUUUAACCAUCAAAUAUUUUAUUUCUCCCUUCACAUUAAGGGAAGUACGGUGACUAAGCUGAAAAUGCCUGUGUUGCUCCUUGUAUAUGGAAAGUAUAACAGUCUGUGUACAGUGCCAAUAUCAACAUACCGCUUAUUUGCCGAACAGGGCUGGCUAACAUCAAAAGCACACCUUUAAGAGAGUACUGAAAGGCACAGAUCCACAACUGCACUCAAGUAAGAAUAGGAUAAGGAGGUGACUGUGUCUAAAUCUGUUCAUCAUUUUAUAUCCCAGAUGGAGUGAAAGACAGAAAUACUGUACCUCACUCCUAGCUCUCUUAAACCAGUCACAUGUACCAUUUCAGCUCUCUGUUUAGCUCCAAGCAUGUCAAAGCCAAUGUUAAUGAAAUGUGAUCUCUCAUUCCUUCUUCCCUGCACAGCUGUUUAAUUAGAGGACUGAGCGAGGAAAUAGAAACAUCACAAAUACAGAGUGUACUCAUCUCCGUAUAUGUGCCAUUAAUAAUAACCUUCAAGCCAGCUUCCAUGGAUUAUUAUUUGUGGCAAAGGAGGCUAUAUACUGUAGCCAGGAGAAAAGGUGAAGCAGGCAAGAAGAAAGGGCCUACAACUCCUCCUUGCCUGCAGGGUUUCUCGUUGACCACCACACACAGUGCUCAUGGACUCUCCUAGGCACAGAGCUGGUCCUGCAGGCCUCACUAAUCACUAUACUCAUGUGGCAACAUCCCUGAUCUCUGCUUGGUGAGUGAGGAAACCAACAAAUCGCUGUCUCACAUGUGACAUUUUGGUGGCAUUUUUUAAUCAGAUAAAUCUCUUCAGCUUUCAGUGUCUCUUCUUGAAUGUGACUACCACAGCAUUGUUCUACCCUUGUCACCCUCAACCACUACCAUAAUAAGCACAAAUAGUUUUAUAAAACAAAACGCAAAAAUGUAGUGUGAGAAGAACUAUGAAACUGUGAAACAGUAUGGCUUCCUGACACAAUUACAAUAAUGAAUCCCAUCAGCUGAGACUGCAGCUCCUAUACCUUCAGUGACUCAAUGAAAACACACUUCUUUGGUAACAUCUGAGGUCAUGCAGAAUUUGAAAGGCCUUGUCCCACUUCAUGCCCACUCCAGUUUCUUAAAAUUCAGACCAUCCAGUCCAUGCCCAGCCA
This 1237-nucleotide long non-coding RNA is filed under the name Numida meleagris (helmeted guineafowl). RNAcentral's name for it is "lncRNA (ENSNMEG00000006894.1)". Lineage: Eukaryota; Metazoa; Chordata; Aves; Galliformes; Numididae. The record is from RNAcentral.